This is a long non-coding RNA of Rhinolophus ferrumequinum (greater horseshoe bat), 2522 nucleotides long. RefSeq lists it as uncharacterized. The transcript is spliced from 3 exons. The record is from RefSeq and is a predicted model, not a curated record. NCBI's taxonomy places the organism in Eukaryota, Metazoa, Chordata, Mammalia, Chiroptera, Rhinolophidae.
CCCAGCAGCUUCUCCAUCCCCGCGCCGGCUCUCCUCCUCCUGGCGCCUGACGGCGUCCCUCCCCGCGCUCCCGCAGUGCCCGCGCCCUUCGCGGGGGCUCCAGGGCCUGCUCGCGCUCCGCCCAGCGCUCCAACCUUCUCUGCUCCCAGCUCGCUCACGACUCAGUCUAUCUCUAUAUCAGUAACAUCUCCACCCUUUUGAAGAGUCCACAAGACUCUAGGAGCCUUCAAGGGGGAGAGGUUGUUACAAAGAGGUGUUUGGGAGACUGAUAAGGAGACAAUCAUGGUUCCUGCCCUUUGGGAGUGCAGUUCUAUUAGAGCAGCUUUCCCAGAACUCUGGAUGAAAUGCCCCUGAUGGAGACAGCAGCUUCAGGCCGGUGGGCUAGAGGACAGAGGAUUCAACCAGAUUAACCGAACAAUCCUGAUGCACAUGCCGUGACCAAGCUCUGAGGAAUGUCAUCCUCACAGCGUGGACUCUUGUUUUAACCAUAACCGCCAUGGAGCCGAGAGUCCAGCCAUUUGCAGUGACUCUGGGAUUCUGGCAUGGUAUGCGUUUGCCUACGCUUAGACAGCAGGUUAGAGGCAGAGCCAGGGCUGAAUUUCAGAUUUACUGCCUCCAAAUUUGGUGCUCUUUCCCUUCAACAUGACUUCCUCUCUUCGGAGAGUUUAUUUUCUCUUUUCUGUUGUCCCUCCUGGAAGCCUCCUUCCUCCCUCUCCCAUUAAAACCCUGCUUAGGGCUUACAGUUUCUCUGAGGUGUUGCCCCUCCUUCCAGUUUAUCCUGGCUGCUCAUUUGUUCUCUUUCCUUCUGACAACCCUCCAUCAAUGUCACUGAUUUGUCUUCAUCCAUCCUUUAAAUCCCCCUUUAAAGAUUCACUAAUCAUUCUUCUCUUCUUAACAUUCCUCCAGACUUCUUAUUCCCCACCCCUUUCGCAGUGUUCCUGUAGAAGCCAUGCAUUUGUUCAUUUAACCACUCAACACCUAUUUACUAAGCACCUGCUAUGUGUCAAGCACUGUUGCAGGAGUUAGGGUACAGUGGUGAGAAAGCGAGUCGUGGUCCCUUAUCCUCUGGCCAUUUAGAUUGUAUUGGGAAAGACUAACAAUAGGCAAGUAAACAAAUUAACAAGGUAAUUAUAGACGUAGCAAGUGCUUUGAAGAAUAUAAAGGGGGUAAUACAAGACGAAUUAAGCGGAGGAGGUGUGCACUGCUUUUAAUAGGGUGUUCAGGAAAGCUUCUCUGGGGAGCUGACAUUUGGGUUGAGCCCUGACUGCCGAGAGGGAGGGAGAAGAACUGGGGGAGAGCUUCCGAGACAGGGGGAACAGCAGGUGCAAAGACCUGCUGUUUGGAUAAAGCCUGCGGUAUGAUGAGAAUGGUUUGAUAUGAAAUUGGAGCGGUGCUAGGUGCCAGGCUGUCAGACCCUUGGGACCAGGAUAAGGAAUUGGGUUUGGGCAGUGGAAUGCCGCUGGAGGGCUUCAGUGGGGAAUUUACAUGGUCCGCUUCACGUAUUCAGACACUCACUUUGUGCUAGUAGUCUUUUCUCUCCAUUUCCUUUUCUAACUCUUGUCUUCCUUUGCAUAUUUUCAUUCAAGACGAGUGUCCCAUUCCAUGCCACUUCCCCAUGGGGGAGAAUGAGUCUUCCAAACAAAUUAUUUAUUAACCUGAGCACCAAAGGUAGCUAAUUUGAUUCUGGCUCCCAUCUCUAUUCAAGAGUUCAAAGAAUCAUAGAUUUGUAGAAUAUUAGAGUUGAAAGGGACAUUAUUGACACGUAAUCUAACCCUUACAUUAUGGGUAAGAAAAUUGGGGCCCAGAGGAGUGACCUCGCUUGUGAAGAUAAUUCAUAUGUUAAGUGGGGAGACUUUCUGGUCUUUACCCCUCAGAAAUGCAGGAACAGGUUGUUUCUGUCUCUUACACACAUAUUUCAAUUUAAAAGGUACUAACUGACCACUCACUAUAUGUCCAGAGUCAGGGCCCAGCUUCACAGGAAUAGCAGGAGCAAGUGACAAGGUUCGUGCACAGCAACACUGGGGUAUGAUGGUGAGGUGACAGCCACUGUCCUCAGGCAGCUUAAAAUGCAUGGCCAAGAGAGAUACUGCAUAGUCACAUAGUGUGCACACACUGUCACAUGAAGGAACCCACAGGGUGGUGAGGCCCGCAUCAGGCAGGCCUUAGUGCAGCAAGCUGAAGUCACUUCAUGGGUUUUAAGCAACAAGGGAUUUAAUACAGGGAACUAGGUGAUAAGAAAGUCACUGAAACGCCUGGAGGAUGACAAGUCAACUGCUCCUAACUGGACUCUCGGCUUCAAGGUCAAUUGUCAUAGGCCAGAAAUGCUGCAGCUCCUCCUGGCGUAGCAGCUACUGCCCCAACUGUCCCACUUGCAUGGGCCUCUCAUGUUCACAGGAGCUUGUCCAUCCUAUCUGUCGUAGGAAAUGGAUACCUCUGCCUUUACAAUUUCAAACACAUCUAAUUAGAACUCAAUUCAUGUCCAGAACCUAGCUACAAAAUUUUCUGAGAAAUAGAAUUUCUUU